GUCCAAAUCAAUUGUCCAAAAGAAAUAAAAAGCUAAUAUUUUCUGUUUGUGUGGGCUGUUUUUAGGCAUUUCAAAAGGCAUGGGAGGAAGCUUGUUCAUCUGAAGCAGGUGUCCUUGUUGUGCCUGAAAGCAGGUAUCGAUUGAAGCCAUUGAGAUUCUCAGGACCUUGCAAAUCCAAUCUUACAGUAGUGCAGAUAUUUGGAACCAUUGAAGCAUCAGAUGAUCGAUCAGACUAUGAUGAAGAUGAAAGACACUGGCUUGUGUUUGAUCGAGUUCAGAAUUUGUUAGUUGAAGGUGAUGGAACUAUUGAUGGAAAUGGCAAUAUAUGGUGGCAAAAUUCAUGCAAAGUCCAUAAAGAACUUCCUUGCAAGGAAGCCCCUACGGCUCUCACUUUCUACAAAUGCCAGAAUUUGGUUGUGGAUAACCUGAAAAUCCAAAAUGCACAGCAAAUGCAUGUUUCUUUUCAAAGUAGCAGUGAUGUUCUAGUCUCCAAUCUUAUGGUAACUUCACCAGAGGAUAGUCCCAACACUGAUGGAAUUCAUGUCACACGUUCUCAAAACAUCCAGAUUAUAAAUUCAUUCAUAGGAACAGGUAUACGCUCGAUACUUUAUAGUUCUGACAGAUAUAUCAUAAAAUAAAAACUCAUUGAUAAUCCACUAUUCUUUUUCACCCUUUAUCACUAGAACUUCUUUAAUCAUUCUUGACCCAUAUGUGAUUAAAAUUUAUGGAAGGUGAUGAUUGUAUCUCUAUUGUAAGUGGAUCCCAAAAUGUUCAAGCCAUGGACAUAUCCUGUGGACCAGGUCAUGGAAUAAGGUCUCAUCAAUUCUACCUAAAUUUUCAUAGCAAUAAUCAUUAAUUAGCUAGCUAGUUGGCUACUAAUAUUAAUUUCUGCUUUCUCAUGGUGAACACAAGCAGUAUUGGAAGCUUAGGCUCUGGCAAUUCAGAAGCUCAUGUUUCAGGAGUAACUAUUGAUGGUGCUAAACUUUCUGGUACUACCAAUGGUGUUAGGAUCAAAACAUGGCAGGGAGGGUCAGGAUAUGCCAGCAACAUCAUUUUUCAAAAUAUUGAAAUGCACAAUGUGAGCAAUCCCAUUAUAAUAGAUCAGUACUAUUGUGACCACAAAUCAUGCAAAGAAAAGGUAAAGAAAUUAUUAUUAUUUUUUAAUGGGUGAUAUUUGAAUCUUAAUUAACACCAUCCUUUUCAUGUGAUUAUAUGUAUAAUAGCAGAGAUCUGCAGUUCAAGUGAAAAAUGUGGUGUACAAGAACAUCAAGGGGACUAGUGCUUCUGAGGUGGCUAUCAAAUUUGAUUGUAGCAAGACCUAUCCCUGUCAAGGGAUUUUGUUGGAAGAUGUUAUCCUGGAAAGGGAAGCUGGGAAUCAAACAGCAAAAGCUUUGUGCAACAAUGUUAAUUUAGCUGAACUGGGAGUUGUUUCUCCACAUUGUCCCUGACCAUAAUUUAUGCAACAUGUUC
This 1470-nucleotide unclassified non-coding RNA is filed under the name Hevea brasiliensis (rubber tree). Lineage: Eukaryota; Viridiplantae; Streptophyta; Magnoliopsida; Malpighiales; Euphorbiaceae. The record is from RNAcentral.